Molecule: ribosomal RNA, 783 nt
Filed under: uncultured archaeon
Lineage: Archaea
Description: bacterial SSU rRNA
Rfam family: Archaeal small subunit ribosomal RNA
Source: RNAcentral
UUCGCCCUUUUCCGGUUGAUCCUGCCGGACCUGACUGCUAUCGGAUUGAUACUAAGCCAUGCGAGUCAUUGUAGCAAUACAAGGCAGACGGCUCAGUAACGCGUAGUCAACCUACCCUAUGGACGGGAAUAACCUCGGGAAACUGAGUAUAAUGCCCGAUAGAACACUAUACCUGGAAUGGUUUGUGUUUCAAAUGAUUUAUCGCCAUAGGAUGGGACUGCGGCCUAUCAGUUUGUUGGUGAGGUAAUGGCCCACCAAGACUAUUACAGGUACGGGCUCUGAGAGGAGUGGCCCGGAGAUGGGUACUGAGACACGGACCCAGGCCCUAUGGGGCGCAGCAGGCGAGAAAACUUUGCAAUGUGCGAAAGCACGACAAGGUUAAUCCGAGUGGUUUGUGCUAAACGAACCUUUUGUCAGUCCUAGAAACACUAACGAAUAAGGGGUGGGCAAGUUCUGGUGUCAGCCGCCGCGGUAAAACCAGCACCUCAAGUGGUCAGGAUGAUUAUUGGGCCUAAAGCAUCCGUAGCCGGCUCUGUAAGUUUUCGGUUAAAUCUGUACGCUUAACGUACAGGCUGCCGGGAAUACUGCAGAGCUAGGGAGUGGGAGAGGUAGACGGUACUCGGUAGGAAGGGGUAAAAUCCUUUGAUCUAUCGAUGACCACCUGUGGCGAAGGCGGUCUACCAGAACACGUCCGACGGUGAGGGAUGAAAGCUGGGGGAGCAAACCGGAUUAGAUACCCGGGUAGUCCCAGCUGUAAACUAUGCAAACUCAGUGAUGCAUUGA